Molecule: transfer RNA, 73 nt
Filed under: Balaenoptera acutorostrata scammoni
Lineage: Eukaryota; Metazoa; Chordata; Mammalia; Artiodactyla; Balaenopteridae
Description: tRNA-Val (TAC) (tRNA-Val-TAC-7-1)
Rfam family: tRNA
About the family: Transfer RNA (tRNA) molecules are approximately 80 nucleotides in length. Their secondary structure includes four short double-helical elements and three loops (D, anti-codon, and T loops). Further hydrogen bonds mediate the characteristic L-shaped molecular structure. tRNAs have two regions of fundamental functional importance: the anti-codon, which is responsible for specific mRNA codon recognition, and the 3' end, to which the tRNAs corresponding amino acid is attached (by aminoacyl-tRNA synthetases). tRNAs cope with the degeneracy of the genetic code in two manners: having more than one tRNA (with a specific anti-codon) for a particular amino acid; and 'wobble' base-pairing, i.e. permitting non-standard base-pairing at the 3rd anti-codon position.
Source: RNAcentral
UCCCUGGUGGUCUAGUGGUUAAGGCUCUGCACUUACACUGCAGAGGGCACAGGUUCAAUCCCUGGUCAGGGAA